ACCAGCAGCCCUGGACUCAGGAGAGAGACAAAGAGCCCUGCUGGCUCAGCUUGGUUUUUCCCAAAACAGAGUUGGGAGGUAAACCGCAGCUUCUGACCACGGGUUUAAACAUUUGGAAAGCUGGCUGAAGGAGCUUACGUGUAAACAGCAAGGGAUUAAUACCGUCUUGAAUGAGUUCUGUGAGAUUCUCACCACACAAAAUGAAGAAAUGGUUGUUCCCACCAAUAAGGAGAGCGGAUAAAGCCUCCACGUGAAUCACUCUUCCCUACAAUCCCAGCUUAAGGGGAUACAGGUGACAUCAAGAAAAAGCAUCAGCUGAAAAGACAAAAUUCUUGGCUCCAGAUUUUUAAAAAAAGUUCUGAACACUCUAUAUCUAAAAAAAAAAAAAA
Non-coding RNA from Ictidomys tridecemlineatus (thirteen-lined ground squirrel), 389 nucleotides. The record is from RefSeq and is a predicted model, not a curated record. NCBI's taxonomy places the organism in Eukaryota, Metazoa, Chordata, Mammalia, Rodentia, Sciuridae.